RNAcentral lists this ribosomal RNA (441 nucleotides) under uncultured bacterium. Its description in RNAcentral is "partial 16S ribosomal RNA". It matches the Rfam family "Bacterial small subunit ribosomal RNA", at positions 338 to 795 of the family's 1533-position model. The record is from RNAcentral.
CCUACGGGAGGCAGCAGUGGGGAAUAUUGGGCAAUGGGCGCAAGCCUGACCCAGCAACGCCGCGUGAAGGAAGAAGGCUUUCGGGUUGUAAACUUCUUUUGUCAGGGAAGAGUAGAAGACGGUACCUGACGAAUAAGCCACGGCUAACUACGUGCCAGCAGCCGCGGUAAUACGUAGGGGGCAUGCGUUGUCCGGAUUUACUGGGUGUAAAGGGCGUGUAGCCGGGUUGACAAGUCAGAUGUGAAAUCCUGCGGCUUAACCGCAGAACUGCAUUUGAAACUGUUGAUCUUGAGUACUGGAGAGGCAGACGGAAUUCCUAGUGUAGCGGUGAAAUGGGUAGAUAUUAGGAGGAACACCAGUGGCGAAGGCGGUCUGCUGGACAGCAACUGACGGUGAGGCGCGAAAGCGUGGGGAGCAAACAGGAUUAGAUCCCCAGUAGUC